Molecule: ribosomal RNA, 439 nt
Filed under: uncultured bacterium
Lineage: Bacteria
Description: partial 16S ribosomal RNA
Rfam family: Bacterial small subunit ribosomal RNA
Source: RNAcentral
CUACGGGUUGCUGCAGUGAGGAAUAUUGCACAAUGGGGUGAACCCUGAUGCAGCAACGCCGCGUGGAGGAUGACGCAUUUCGGUGUGUAAACUCCUUUUAUAUGUCAAGGAAAUGACGGUAGCAUAUGAAUAAGCACCGGCUAACUCCGUGCCAGCAGCCGCGGUAAUACGGAGGGUGCAAGCGUUACUCGGAAUCACUGGGCGUAAAGGACGCGUAGGCGGGUUGGAAAGUCAGGUGUGAAAUCCUACAGCUUAACUGUAGAACUGCACUUGAAACUUCUAAUCUAGAGUAUGGGAGGGGGAGAUGGAAUUAGUGGUGUAGAGGUAAAAUCCGUAGAUAUCACUAGGAAUACCUAAAGCGAAGGCGAUCUCCUGGAACAUUACUGACGCUAAGGCGUGAAAGCGUGGGGAGCAAACAGGAUUAGAUACCCUCGUAGUC